AUUGAACGCUGGCGGCAUGCCUUACACAUGCAAGUCGAACGGUAACGCGGGGCAACCUGGCGACGAGUGGCGAACGGGUGAGUAACGCAUCGGAACGUGCCCAGUAGUGGGGGAUAGCCCGGCGAAAGCCGGAUUAAUACCGCAUACGACCUACGGGUGAAAGGGGGGGAUCGCAAGACCUCUCGCUAUUGGAGCGGCCGAUGUCAGAUUAGGUAGUUGUUGGGGUAAAGGCCCACCAAGCCUUCGAUCUGUAGCUGGUCUGAGAGGACGACCAGCCACACUGGGACUGAGACACGGCCCAGACUCCUACGGGAGGCAGCAGUGGGGAAUUUUGGACAAUGGGCGCAAGCCUGAUCCAACCAUGCCGCGUGCGGGAAGAAGGCCCUCGGGUUGUAAACCGCUUUUGUCAGGGAAGAAACGCUCUGGGCUAAUACCCCGGGGUAAUGACGGUACCUGAAGAAUAAGCACCGGCUAACUACGUGCCAGCAGCCGCAGUAA
This 498-nucleotide ribosomal RNA is filed under the name uncultured bacterium. Its description in RNAcentral is "partial 16S ribosomal RNA". It matches the Rfam family "Bacterial small subunit ribosomal RNA", at positions 29 to 523 of the family's 1533-position model. The record is from RNAcentral.